Molecule: ribosomal RNA, 614 nt
Filed under: uncultured bacterium
Lineage: Bacteria
Description: bacterial SSU rRNA
Rfam family: Bacterial small subunit ribosomal RNA (bases 1-524)
Source: RNAcentral
CCUACGGGAGGCAGCAGUGGGGAAUAUUGGGCAAUGGAGGAAACUCUGACCCAGCGACGCCGCGUGCGGGAUGAAGGCCUUCGGGUUGUAAACCGCUUUCAGCAGGGAAGAAGCGAAAGUGACGGUACCUGCAGAAGAAGCACCGGCUAACUAUGUGCCAGCAGCCGCGGUAAUACAUAGGGUGCAAGCGUUGUCCGGAAUUAUUGGGCGUAAAGAGCUCGUAGGUGGUUCGUCACGUCGGAUGUGAAAAUCUGGGGCUUAACCCCAGACCUGCAUUCGAUACGGGCGAGCUUGAGUAUGGUAGGGGAGUCUGGAAUUCCUGGUGUAGCGGUGGAAUGCGCAGAUAUCAGGAGGAACACCAAUGGCGAAGGCAGGACUCUGGGCCAUUACUGACACUGAGGAGCGAAAGCGUGGGGAGCGAACAGGAUUAGAUACCCUGGUAGUCCACGCCGUAAACGGUGGGCACUAGUUGUGGGGACCUUCCACGGUCUCUGCGACGCNGCUACGCAUUAAGUCGCCCCGCCCGUCGGGNGGUACGAGUCGCAGAAUUAAACUACAAGAAGUAGUAGCGNGNGACGNGCCGACGACGACCGACCGACGGGAAGGGUAGGAGG